CGUGAUCCCCAGGAGCCCAAAGCGUGCCUGGUCCCCUUGGAGGUGGCAGAACCGAGUCAACAGCCCCAGGAGUUGCCAGAAGCUUCCUCUGAACCCCCACCAUUAAGCUAAACUAAAGUUCUUUAGGGGGAGGGGGAGCCUGGGAAGAAGGGAAGAGAGAAGCAAGGAGAUGCUGACGGAGAGAAGACCGCUAAAGACUAGUCACGUGGGUAGAGGAGCGCUUGCUGUCUCCCUCCUCCCAGCGGCAUUUUCAUCUGGAGCACUUGAUGAAGACUUACUUGUGUGGGACUUGCCGUUCUUGCAAGGCUGUGUUAGCCACAGAUACCCUUGAGUAAGGGAGAUAGCGCCUUGGAUCUGAUUGCCCAGGCUUAGGUGAUGGCUUUAGGGCUGGCUGCAGCAGCCUCUUAGUGUGUCGGGCUGGGCUGGCCUGCAGCAAGGGCUGCUCUUCUCCCUCUGGGCAACAGGUCAGCAAAGCAGGGAGAAAGGAGGUGGAAGUGCUUGGGAGGCCUGCCCAGGCUCCUUGCUGACUCAGCACUUAUUUCUGUAGUUUUAAGAGAAUUGAUUUUUUUUUUUGAGGGUGGGGUGGGGUGGGGUGGGGAAAGCCAUUAAAGGCAGAGAAAAAAGAAAAAAAAAAAGAAAA
RNAcentral lists this long non-coding RNA (640 nucleotides) under Rattus norvegicus (Norway rat). RNAcentral's name for it is "long non-coding RNA NONRATT028387". Lineage: Eukaryota; Metazoa; Chordata; Mammalia; Rodentia; Muridae. The record is from RNAcentral.